Molecule: long non-coding RNA, 228 nt
Filed under: Elaeis guineensis (African oil palm)
Lineage: Eukaryota; Viridiplantae; Streptophyta; Magnoliopsida; Arecales; Arecaceae
Description: long non-coding RNA (EGUI_LNC041657)
Source: RNAcentral
UGGGGGAUAGUCCCACUGGGACUGAGACUCUACUAUUUUUAGAAAAUUAAUUAGUAAUCAGAUUAUUAAUUGACUCAAUUUGAUUAAGCAAAAAGCUUUAGAAUAAGUCUAAUUAAAUUAGAAUCAAUUUGACUCUGAUUGGAUUUGAUAUGAUCGAGCUUAAUUACAAAAAAAAUUUGAUUCUAAUUCGAUCAGGGUAUUGACUCGGCUAAUUCUUAAUUGGAUUAG